AGUGAACGCUGGCGGUAGGCCUAACACAUGCAAGUCGAACUGCAGCACAGGAGAGCUUGCUCUCUGGGUGGCGAGUGGCGGACGGGUGAGGAAUACAUCGGAAUCUACUUUUUCGUGGGGGAUAACGUAGGGAAACUUACGCUAAUACCGCAUACGACCUACGGGUGAAAGCAGGGGAUCUUCGGACCUUGCGCGAUUGAAUGAGCCGAUGUCGGAUUAGCUAGUUGGCGGGGUAAAGGCCCACCAAGGCGACGAUCCGUAGCUGGUCUGAGAGGAUGAUCAGCCACACUGAAGCUGAGACACGGACCAGACUCCUACGGGAGGCAGCAGUGGGGAAUAUUGGACAAUGGGCGCAAGCCUGAUCCAGCCAUACCGCGUGGGUGAAGAAGGCCUUCGGGUUGUAAAGCCCUUUUGUUGGGAAAGAAAUCCAGCUGGUUAAUACCCGGUUGGGAUGACGGUACCCAAAGAACAAGCACCGGCUAACUUCGUGCCAGCCGCCGCAGUAA
RNAcentral lists this ribosomal RNA (506 nucleotides) under uncultured bacterium. RNAcentral's name for it is "partial 16S ribosomal RNA". It matches the Rfam family "Bacterial small subunit ribosomal RNA", at positions 29 to 523 of the family's 1533-position model. The record is from RNAcentral.